UACGUAGGGACCAAGCGUUGUUCGGAUUUACUGGGCGUAAAGGGCGCGUAGGCGGCAAUUCAAGUCAUCUGUGAAAUCUCCGGGCUUAACUCGGAAUGGUCAGGUGAUACUGCUUUGCUAGAGUGCAGAAGGGGCAAUCGGAAUUCUUGGUGUAGCGGUGAAAUGCGUAGAUAUCAAGAGGAACACCUGAGGUGAAGACGGGUUGCUGGGCUGACACUGACACUGAGGCGCGAAAGCUAGGGGAGCAAACGGG
Molecule: ribosomal RNA, 253 nt
Filed under: uncultured bacterium
Lineage: Bacteria
Description: partial 16S ribosomal RNA
Rfam family: Bacterial small subunit ribosomal RNA
Source: RNAcentral